CCCCUCUCCUCCACCCGCCCGCCGUGCGCUCACCGCGCCGCGCGCCCCUCGCCCUCCGCCAGCGCCCAGCCCAGGUGCAGGCGGCGCGCGCGAGCCCUCGAGCAGCGAAGCCCGCCUCCCAGCUCCGCACACGGCUGGCCACGGAGAGCGCUCCCACUUCGGCUCCGACCGACCAGGCAAGAGGGAGGUGGGGAUAAGAGUUGAAAAGCCCGCCUGACUUUUAGGAACUGCCCCGCCCUCUGGCCCUUUGGAGACUUUCGUUUUCAUUUCCUCCAGGCUCCCUCCAGCCUACGCCCUUCCACUCCUCCCCACCGCCAUCUCUCUGGGUUCUUUUCUUCGGACAACUGGGAAAGCAGGAACCUGGCUGCUGGGGGAACUCCAGAGUGAAAUACUCAUGCUGCGGUUGUUUCGGACGGUCCCUCCAGCCUGAAACAAAACCUUCUGGACGUCUUCGUCCCCAGGACUGGCUGGAGAAGCCGACUUAGCGCAGCGUACACCUUUUUCCUCUACACAAGUACAACCACAAGUGACAAGGAUAGGGACACACUGUAGUGCUGCUGCUAAGGCAGAUUUUCACCAAGCAUAAGAGCUUUGAAAAUUUGCAUCAGAGAGUGCCGGAAGAGAAGGUUGCAGGGACCUCAGAGGCACACAGUGAUUCUGGCUUGAAGGUGUUGCUGCAGCAGCAGAAACUGCCUAGGUCUUGCUGGGACCUCCAAAAAUGUCAACUGUUGGCUCCCAGAAAUAUCACCAGAGCAACCUGUUGAUAAGCCCCAGGACCAAAGGUGAAACUCACCUAAGACAAGAGUCCGUCCGGAACCGAGCCGUCACCAGUCUGCGCUUGCGGCUUGAGGGAACCUCCAGCAGUCCCGCGCUCCGGGGAAACUGCCGAGGGAACUGCGCAUCUGGCCUGAGAUCUUGGCGUCCUUCUGCUCUCAUUGGAUAGCAGCUCUCCUGCCGCAGAAGCCGAUUGGCUGCGCUCUAGCCGCGGAGUGGAGGGCGGGAGACGCUGAGUGUGCAAAGACCUUCCCGCCGCUGGUCUUGGACGAGGGAAGAGCGGGAUUCGCUGCCAGGCUGCGCGCUGCCCACAGUGCCAGCUUCAGCCCUCCUAGUCUUGAAUAAGGGAAAGAGUCCCGGAAGAAGGGUCUCGAGCGCGGGGAAGGGGAGUCGGGGAUCUAGGCUUUGAGAGGACGCGGGAGCGGGAGACACCAGAAACGCAGGAGGCGGCGCCGCUGCGGAGGCCUGAGCCCCGCGCGCGCGAGCGCGGGAACCGGUUGCACCAGUCGGAGCGCGCGGGCGGAAACCUGGCUCCCGGGUGCCCAGCAGUCGGGAGGAGGCGUGGAGACACUAGCCCGGCAUUCUGCAUUGCUCCCGCGCAGAGGAGGCACUGCGGGAAGAAGCCGCGAAUGCAGACCGAGUGAACGACCUCGUCAUAAAUCGAUUCUCCAAACGCAGAAGUUUACAAUCCAGAUAAAGGAAAUAUUGUGAACUCCAGGUAUGUGCAUCUCAAAGCUGACAAUCAAAGAACUUGACUGGAAAGGGCUUGCAAAGGCAGCCUGCUGUUUAACGAUCUGCAUGGAGGGCAGACGUGCAAGUAUUCCGUGCUGUGUUUGAGAAGGGCUCGAGGUCUCAACGGUGACAACUUUUAUGCAGUUUGACAGAGGAAUACAUGAUGUAUAUAAAGUGAUAGGGUUGAGAAACGUGUUGGUAACUACAAUAUGUGUGGUAAUUUGGGGGAACUGGCCUUAAUCUGCACACAAUACAUCAGAAGUAGUUAUUGCUUCCUCUAACAUCGGUUCUCUGAGUUUGGAUAGCAUAAGCUUUAAAAAGGCAGCAACUACCAAAAAAAAAAAAAAUUAUACGGAAGUUUCAGCACUUACUAUCAUU
This is a long non-coding RNA of Camelus dromedarius (Arabian camel), 1884 nucleotides long. RefSeq lists it as uncharacterized. NCBI's taxonomy places the organism in Eukaryota, Metazoa, Chordata, Mammalia, Artiodactyla, Camelidae. The transcript has 4 exons. The record is from RefSeq and is a predicted model, not a curated record.